AGAGUUUAAUCCUGGCUCAGGAUAAACGCUAGCGGCAGGCCUAACACAUGCAAGUCGAGGGGCUUCGGAUAGAGUACUUCGGUACUCUUGCCGGCGACCGGCGGACGGGUGCGUAACGCGUAUGCAACCUACCUUCAACAGGGGGAUAAUCCGAAGAAAUUUGGUCUAAUACCCCAUAAUAUUCCGACAGGCAUCUGUCGGAGUUGAAAGCUUCGGUGGUUGGAGAUGGGCAUGCGUUGUAUUAGCUAGACGGUGAGGUAACGG
RNAcentral lists this ribosomal RNA (264 nucleotides) under uncultured bacterium. Its description in RNAcentral is "partial 16S ribosomal RNA". It matches the Rfam family "Bacterial small subunit ribosomal RNA", at positions 8 to 263 of the family's 1533-position model. The record is from RNAcentral.